This is an RNA transcript of Leptonychotes weddellii (Weddell seal), 1626 nucleotides long. It is a transcript of the gene named alpha 1,4-galactosyltransferase (P1PK blood group), with no coding region annotated. NCBI's taxonomy places the organism in Eukaryota, Metazoa, Chordata, Mammalia, Carnivora, Phocidae. The record is from RefSeq and is a predicted model, not a curated record.
GGCUUCGGAAGUGCCGAGGCGGGGGGAGGGCCCUGCAGGUGGAGGGAAGGGCCUGGGUCGGAGCGCCCCUUCCCCUUCUCAGGGAUCCCGACCCGCCGACGACCCGUCCUUCCGGCUCGCUUCGCUCCCUCCCUGCUAGCCAGAUGGGAACCCCUGAGUGGGAGUUGUGAUGUGCUUGGGAGCGGCUCUGGCAGGGGUCUCUGAGUCCACUGCCCUUCGCUGCUGGGGGGCGGGGACGCUUGCCUCAGUUUCCUCAUCUGACACCCUGGAAUAGACGUUCCCACUUCCUGGGCAGACUCAGCUGAGCCUCUGGCUCUGAGAGGGUUAAAAAGCGUCUCCCCUGCAUCCACCCCUCCCUCAGGAGGACACCCUUUGCGUCUCCUGUCUCCCGGAGAUGCUGAGUGAUUGCCUGCUCCUCGCAGGCCCCUUGGGGCCGGCAGAAGCAGGGCUCAGGUUGGCCAGGACUCUACCCUCCACGCCUAGGUCUGCGCUCCGUGUUCCCUCUCGGAGAUCCCCUAGGGGGGACUCCCCCAGGUGGGCCCAAAUACAAAAGAAAGGGAGAGGCGAGAUGGAAUCCUCUGACAGCUUGCCAUAAGAGGACAAACUCCCAAAUAGAAAUUCUGAAAAUUGUCUCCUUUCCUUAUUCCGACGGAAGCCCUUCUAGCUGCCUAGGUUAAAGGUCCAAACUGGGACAGGGGGCAGAGUAAGAGGAGGUGGCUGCCUGGGACAUUGGCGACAGGACUGGAAGUAGGGACAGAUGAGAAAGGGAAGCUUGAAAUGUGGAAACAGCUCUUUCCUCCCCCACCGCCUUCCUCCCCAGCGGCCGCUGCCCCUCCUGGCCCUCCAUCCAGGCAGGUGGGCUGUAGGGCUCUACCAGCCACCUGCUCACCCAAGCUCUGUGCCCGAUGUGCCUCUGGAAUGCACUUCCUCCCAACCGUCGGACCUCCUAGAAAUGAAAUUGCUGAAUCAAAGAACAUGAACGUCUAGGAUCUUUGUGUGAUUCCCACCCCCCACCCCACCCCCGGUUUUAUUGAGCUGUGACUGACACGCAGCACCGUGUAAGAUGAAGGUGUACAGAGUGAUUUGGCAAAUAUACGUGCCUUGGGAAGUGACCACAAAAUACCUCAGUGGAUCCAGAAGCUUCCAGUGGAAGCUGAGUUGGCCACAGGACUAGAAGAGCCCCUUCCCUUCUGGCUGGUGCCCGCACACUCUGCCCUGUGCCCAUACUCUCCAGCGGGAACACACCGCACAUUCUGGAAGUCAGACCUGUGCAAAGUCUGAAUUGGCAAACGGGGACCUAGGUGAACAGGCGCAUGAGAGUGAAGCAGAAGUGGUCUUCACGUUCACCCAACAGACUUGAUUUGAAAGAGCAGAAUCCCUCGUCGCAGAUGUAGACACAGAGCCCAGAAAGGUCCCUGCCCCCACCACCUCUCCAGUUGUCUGAGGUCUUCAUUUGCACCUUCCCAUCAGGUCUCCAAGGCAGCCUCCUGAGUUGGGGGGUGGGCCAUGGAUUGAGCCCUUACUAGGUGCCAGACACUUUAUUAUUUAAUCCCCUCUGCAGGGGCGCCUGGGUGGCUCAGUCAAGCAUCUGGCUUCAGCUCAGGUCAUGAUCCUGCCAGCCUGGGA